AUUGAACGCUGGCGGCAGGCCUAACACAUGCAAGUCUAACGAGUGGCGGACGGGUGAGUAAUGUCUGGGAAACUGCCUGAUGGAGGGGGAUAACUCCUGGAAACGGUAGCUAAUACCGCAUACCAUCAGCUGUGCCCAGAUGGGAUUAGCUAGUAGGUGGGGUAAAGGCUCACCCAGCCGACGAUCUCUAGCUGGUCUGAGAGGAUGACCGGCCACACGGGGACUGAGACACGGCACAGACUCCUACGGGAGGCAGCAGUGGGGAAUAUUGCGCAAUGGGGGCAACCCUGACGCAGCCAUGCCGAGUGAAUGAAGAAGGCCUUCGGGUUGUAAAGUUCUUGCGGUAGCGAGGCGUUAACUACAGAAGAAGCACCGGCUAACUCCGUGCCAGCAGCCGCGGUAAUUC
This 406-nucleotide ribosomal RNA is filed under the name uncultured bacterium. RNAcentral's name for it is "partial 16S ribosomal RNA". It matches the Rfam family "Bacterial small subunit ribosomal RNA", at positions 30 to 526 of the family's 1533-position model. The record is from RNAcentral.